GCGUAGGCGACUUUCUGGUCUGUACUGCACACUGAGGCGCGAAAGCGUGGGGCCUGACAUACAGGAUUAGAUACCCUGGUAGUCCACGCCGAACUGAGGAGGGCUAAGUGUUAGAGGGUUUCCGCCCUUUAGUGCUGAAGUUAACGCAUUAAGCACUCCGCCUGUCCAGUACGGCCGCAAGGCUGAAACUCAAAGGAAUUGACGGGGGCCCGCACAAGCGGUGGAGCAUGUGGUUUAAUUCGAAGCAACGCGAAGAACCUUACCAGGUCUUGACAUCCUCUGAAAACCCUAGAGAUAGGGCUUCUCCUUCGGGAGCAGAGUGACAGGUGGUGCAUGGUUGUCGUCAGCUCGUGUCGUGAGAUGUUUGGGUUUAGUCCCGCAACGAGCGCAACCCCUUGAUCUUAGUUGCCAUCAUUAAGUUGGGGCACUCUAAGGGUGGACUGCCGGUGACAACCCGGAGGAAAGGUGGGGAUGACGUCAAAUCAUCAUGCCCCUUAUGACCUGGGCUACACACGUGCUACAAUGGACGGUACAAAGAGCUGCAAGACCGCGAGGUGGACCUAAUCUCAUAAAACCGUUCUCAAGUCGAAUGGAAGCUGCAACUCGCCUACAUGAAGCUGGAAUCGCUAGGUAUCCGCGGAAUCAGCAUGGCGCGUGGAAAUACGUCCCCAGGCCUUGUAACACACCGCGGUACAACCGAGCGGGGUUGGGUAACCCCCGAAAGUCGUGGGUAAACCUUUUUGGAACAAGCCCCCAUAAUGUGGGACUAUGAUGGGGGUGAAUUCUAA
This 788-nucleotide ribosomal RNA is filed under the name Bacillus cereus. Its description in RNAcentral is "bacterial SSU rRNA". It matches the Rfam family "Bacterial small subunit ribosomal RNA", at positions 715 to 1533 of the family's 1533-position model. Lineage: Bacteria; Bacillati; Bacillota; Bacilli; Caryophanales; Bacillaceae. The record is from RNAcentral.